Pseudophryne corroboree (corroboree frog) is the source of this 83-nucleotide small nucleolar RNA. RefSeq annotates it as small nucleolar RNA SNORD74. The record is from RefSeq and is a predicted model, not a curated record. The transcript has a single exon. NCBI's taxonomy places the organism in Eukaryota, Metazoa, Chordata, Amphibia, Anura, Myobatrachidae.
GCAGCCUGAACAUGAUGAAAGCUAAUGUUGGUAGGGACAUCUGAGAGAUCAUGAUGAUUACCAACGUCUCUGAGCAGGCCUGC